Molecule: ribosomal RNA, 639 nt
Filed under: Alternaria alstroemeriae
Lineage: Eukaryota; Fungi; Ascomycota; Dothideomycetes; Pleosporales; Pleosporaceae
Description: eukaryotic LSU rRNA
Rfam family: 5.8S ribosomal RNA (bases 312-465)
Source: RNAcentral
AUUGAAUGGCUCAGUGAGGCCUUCGGACUGGCUCGAGGAGGUUGGCAACGACCACCUCAAGCCGGAAAGUUCGUCAAACUCGGUCAUUUAGAGGAAGUAAAAGUCGUAACAAGGUCUCCGUAGGUGAACCUGCGGAGGGAUCAUUACACAAAUAUGAAGGCGGGCUGGAACCUCUCGGGGUUACAGCCUUGCUGAAUUAUUCACCCUUGUCUUUUGCGUACUUCUUGUUUCCUUGGUGGGUUCGCCCACCACUAGGACAAACAUAAACCUUUUGUAAUUGCAAUCAGCGUCAGUAACAAAUUAAUAAUUACAACUUUCAACAACGGAUCUCUUGGUUCUGGCAUCGAUGAAGAACGCAGCGAAAUGCGAUAAGUAGUGUGAAUUGCAGAAUUCAGUGAAUCAUCGAAUCUUUGAACGCACAUUGCGCCCUUUGGUAUUCCAAAGGGCAUGCCUGUUCGAGCGUCAUUUGUACCCUCAAGCUUUGCUUGGUGUUGGGCGUCUUGUCUCUAGCUUUGCUGGAGACUCGCCUUAAAGUAAUUGGCAGCCGGCCUACUGGUUUCGGAGCGCAGCACAAGUCGCACUCUCUAUCAGCAAAGGUCUAGCAUCCAUUAAGCCUUUUUUCAACUUUUGACCUCGGAU